This is a long non-coding RNA of Salvelinus fontinalis (brook trout), 1128 nucleotides long. RefSeq lists it as uncharacterized. The transcript is spliced from 3 exons. The record is from RefSeq and is a predicted model, not a curated record. NCBI's taxonomy places the organism in Eukaryota, Metazoa, Chordata, Actinopteri, Salmoniformes, Salmonidae.
CCUGAUGUCCUUACACAGCUCUCUGGUCUUGGCCAUUAUGGAGAGUGUCACGUUCCUGACCUGUUUUCAUUUGUUAUGUAUUUGUUUUAGUUGGUCAGGGCGUGAGUUGGGUGGGUUGGUCUAGGUUUGUUUUUCUAUGUUGGGAUUUUUGUGUUUGGCCUGGUAUGAUUCUCAAUCAGAGACAGGUGUGUAUCGUUUGUCCCUGAUUGAGAGUCAUACUAAGGCAGCCAGGGUUUCACUGGUGUUUUGUGGGUGUUUGUUUCCUGUGUCAGUGUUUGGGCCACACAGGACUGUUUUCAGGUUAGUCACGUUUGUAGAGUUUCGUAAUUUGUAGUGUUUGUUGUUUGUUCAUUAAAACAUGAAUACCUACUACUCCGCAUCUUGGUCUGAUCCAUGCUCCUCCUCGUCUGAGGAGGAGAACGACUAAGACAACCUUAACAGAGAGGUUGGAGUCUGUUUGAUUGAGUGUGUGGACAGGUGCAGUUAAUACAGGUAAUGAGUGGAGAAUAGGAGGGCUUCUUAAAGAAAAACGAACAGGUCUGUGGGAGCCGGAAUUCUUACUGGUUGGUAGGUGAUCAAAUACUUAUGUCAUGCAAUAAAAUGCAAAUUAAUUACUUAAAAAUCAUACAAUGUGAUUUUCUGGAUUUUUGUUUUAGAUUCCGUCUCUCACAGUUGAAGUGUACCUAUGAUACAAAUUACAGACCUCUACAUGCUUUGAAGAGCUCAUGACGUCUGGCUGCAGUUUUGCAGCUGUGAGCUGGAACCUGUCACCCUGAUCCGCCACAGACUCUGGCCUGCCACCCCUACAUCUGCCGCAAACAGCAAUUUCAGUGGACCUCCUGUGCCAGUUUGCAGCCCUGCAGCUGGAGUGUGGGGUGUCUUUGAGGGGGAUUACCUUGGCUUUCCAUAAAUCCAAUUCAUGCUGGAAGUUGAGCUCUACCAGAAGCUCACAAAUGAGUCAUCUGAGGAGUUCAAACAAGGGCAGUUUGAACGAGAGACUAUCAGGAAGUUGGCACCACUGACCUCGGACGGAACGAAGUGUCGUCUCUGUUCACAGGUAUGUCAAUGAUAACAAUUAUGGAACAACUAUAAAGUCUCAGCAAGCUAGGGUUCUUAUUUGCAUUCAGU